GUCAAAUAAUCUCCACGGUAAUGAGAUGUGCCAAUGCUUAUACAACUGCAUACCAAAUAUCAUUGACCUACCACUAGUGGUUCCCCAUAAAUCAACCUAAUCACAAACUAAUACAUGAAAACUAAGCAAAAGUUUCAAAGUCAAUAGACCAUGACUGAGGGGGCGGGGCCAAAUAAUCUCCAUGGAAAUGAGACUUAUGCCAAUGCUUAUACAACUGCAUACCAAUUAUCAUUAACUUACCACUAGUGGUUCCCCAUAAACUGACCUAAUCACAAACUAAUACAUGAAAACUAAGCAAAAGUUUCAAAGUCAAUAGACCAUAACUGAGGGGGCGGGGCCAAAUAAUCUCCAUGGUAAUGAGAUGUGCCAAUACUAAUACAACUGCAUACCAAAUAUCUUUGACUUACCACUAGUGGU
This 417-nucleotide long non-coding RNA is filed under the name Mytilus galloprovincialis (Mediterranean mussel). The record is from RNAcentral. Lineage: Eukaryota; Metazoa; Mollusca; Bivalvia; Mytilida; Mytilidae.